Molecule: long non-coding RNA, 692 nt
Filed under: Olea europaea subsp. europaea
Lineage: Eukaryota; Viridiplantae; Streptophyta; Magnoliopsida; Lamiales; Oleaceae
Source: RNAcentral
UGAGAAUAUGGUUCUCUUAACUCUAUUAGACUUAAGCACUAUUUGUGUAAUUCACAUGGAUUGUGCUUGUCUAGUUUUAUUAUGGACCAUUGGAUGGGAUCGACGGUCGGGAUUUAAUCUAUUUGAGAUAUCUUUUUGUUGCCUUGUCUUGGGGAAGAUGUUUUGACUUGAUGGUUGACACAAAAAAGGCUCCCCCUCCCCCACGUUUUUGGUAGAGAGGUCGUUUCUUCCCUUCUUAAGUCGACUCUCUCUCCAUUUUUGCUCUCUCGGUUUUGGUUGAAGGUUGAGGGUCCGGUUGGUGGCAGUUUUUCUGGCGAGGUUCUUUGCCGGUUUCUCUCUCUCUCUCUCUCUUUGGAAGGUGAUUUGCAUUACAUGGAGCUGUUCCUGAGCCUAAAUCAGCCAUAAGAGCAAGGAGAAGUUGCUGUCCAGAUUCGGCCGAGAUCAGGUUGUAUCUUUCCAUUUUAUUUUCUUUGAUUUUGCCUUGAAAUCCUUUAUUGAUUGAUUAUUAUUGUUUGAUUGAACUCCAAGGAUCCCAACAAACUGGUAUCAGAGCAAGGAGGAGUGAAAUCUGUCCAAAAAUCGAUCAAAAACUUCAAGGAAAUCGCGAUUCCCAUUUUUUUGCCGAAUCUGAAACUUCAAAUUCCGGCCAAACUACUGACCUUUUGGCGAAACUGACCUUGGACCCAUAACCA